AAUAAGUACAGUUUUAGCAUUAUUUAUGUCCAACGUUUGAUUGUUCGUCUUAUUUGAAAAAUGAUUAUGAUUAGUAUUUUUAUUAUUAUUAGAUGAUAAAACCUGAAUAGUACUUUAUGUGAGACUAUUUUUUUAAUAUUUUUCAUAAAUUUUUCAAAUAAAACGGAUGGUCAAAACGCUGAGAACGCAUAUCUAUGGCUGUACUUAUU
Molecule: non-coding RNA, 209 nt
Organism: Oryza nivara
Lineage: Eukaryota; Viridiplantae; Streptophyta; Magnoliopsida; Poales; Poaceae
Source: Rfam